GGACCAAAGAAAUAUCCUUUAAUGUCUAGAGUUUUUGGUUCUUUGAUUGGAUUUGAUAAGGAUUUGCAGGCCAGCAAUCCCUUUGAUGGUUGCCGCCACAUCAAUCAUCAAAGAAGAUUUUUAAGAAGCAACCGUUUCCAUGGCAAUUUUUAUAACUGCACAACAUGGCGGCCCCUGGGGGUUUAUCAGGUUGACUUCUAUAUGAUGCACAUCACUGCGGAGCAU
This 225-nucleotide unclassified non-coding RNA is filed under the name Hevea brasiliensis (rubber tree). The record is from RNAcentral. Lineage: Eukaryota; Viridiplantae; Streptophyta; Magnoliopsida; Malpighiales; Euphorbiaceae.